UGGGGGGAGUUUGCAUUGCUUAAUAGCGGAACGACAGUCAAUUUGCGGGAGACUCCCGAAACUGCCGGGAGAGUGGGUGUGGCCUGAUGCCCCUCCCAUAUACAGUGCUUUCCCAGCAGAAACAUACUCCGAUCCAGCCGUGCAGAAGGAGCAGCGGCCUCUGCUGGCUGUCGUUGCCAACCAUCCAACCCGGCUCCCUCAAUCCAAGUCCCCGUCUGUGACGCUGACACAUUCCUUGUACUCAAACAGACGGCUCCAUGUCUGCAUUGGAUCUGAUUUCCACCAAUGAAGCUCUACAAUAUAGGGCACCUGAUUAUAGUGACCAUACAGCAGAUAUGCCAGUGCAGCACUUUGGUCAGUAGAUGGCAGCACUGCGCCAUCGCUGAUACCUGCGUUUGCUUUUAUUUUUCCUGUUGUCCCUCUUGUUUAAAUUUGUGUCUUAAGUAUUUCAUGUCUUGUUUUUCAUGUUGAUGUACAGUAAAUGAUUCCUGACUUACUCU
Long non-coding RNA from Paramormyrops kingsleyae, 500 nucleotides. RefSeq lists it as uncharacterized. Lineage: Eukaryota; Metazoa; Chordata; Actinopteri; Osteoglossiformes; Mormyridae. The record is from RefSeq and is a predicted model, not a curated record.